RNAcentral lists this ribosomal RNA (464 nucleotides) under uncultured bacterium. RNAcentral describes it as "partial 16S ribosomal RNA". It matches the Rfam family "Bacterial small subunit ribosomal RNA", at positions 339 to 795 of the family's 1533-position model. The record is from RNAcentral.
CUACGGGUGGCUCCAGUGGGGAAUAUUGGACAAUGGGGGCAACCCUGAUCCAGCAAUGCCGCGUGUGCGAUGAAGGCCUGCGGGUCGUAAAGCACUUUCGUUGGGGAGGAAAUACUCAAAGAUAAUACCUUUGAGAGUUGACGUUACCCAAAGAAGAAGCACCGGCAAACUCUGUGCCAGCAGCCGCGGUAAUACAGAGGGUGCAAGCGUUAAUCGGAGUUACUGGGCGUAAAGGGCGCGUAGGCUGAUAUUUAAGUCGGAUGUGAAAUCCCUGGGCUUAACCUAGGAAUUGCAUUAGAUACUGAAUGUCUUGAGUAUGGUAGAGGAAAGUGGAAUUCUCGGUGUAGUGGUAAAAUACGUAGAUAUCGAGAAGAACACCGGUGGCGAAGGCGACUUUCUGGACCAAUACUGACGCUGAGGCGCGAAAGCGUGGGGAGCAAACAGGAUUAGAUACCCUGGUAGUC